RNAcentral lists this ribosomal RNA (468 nucleotides) under uncultured bacterium. Its description in RNAcentral is "partial 16S ribosomal RNA". It matches the Rfam family "Bacterial small subunit ribosomal RNA", at positions 28 to 507 of the family's 1533-position model. The record is from RNAcentral.
GACGAACGCUGGCGGCGUGCUUAACACAUGCAAGUCGAACGGAAAGGCCCUGCUUUUGUGGGGUGCUCGAGUGGCGAACGGGUGAGUAACACGUGAGUAACCUGCCCUUGACUUUGGGAUAACUUCAGGAAACUGGGGCUAUUAUCGGAUAGGAGCUCCUGCUGCAUGGUGGGUGUUGGAAAGUUUCGGCGGUUGGGGAUGGACUCGCGGCUUAUCAGCUUGCUGGUGGGGUAGUGGCUUACCAAGGCUUUGACGGGUAGCCGGCCUGAGAGGGUGAACGGCCACAUUGGGACUGAGAUACGGCCCAGAGUCCUACGGGAGGCAGCAGUGGGGAAUAUUGCACAAUGGGCGGAAGCCUGAUGCAGCAACGCCGCGUGCGGGAUGACGGCCUUCGGGUUGUAAACCGCUUUCGCCUGUGACGAAGCGUGAGUGACGGUAAUGGGUAAAGAAGCACCGGCUAACUACGUG